Small nucleolar RNA from Lathyrus oleraceus (garden pea), 107 nucleotides. NCBI's taxonomy places the organism in Eukaryota, Viridiplantae, Streptophyta, Magnoliopsida, Fabales, Fabaceae. The record is from RefSeq and is a predicted model, not a curated record.
AGACCGUGAUGUGGAAAAAGCCUCAUCAUGUCUUUGUAUCUCUCCCAAGCAUCAAAAAGUGAUUCAGUGUCUUUUUGUUUAAAGCCAUUAAUUUGGACUCUUAGCAU